RNAcentral lists this ribosomal RNA (206 nucleotides) under uncultured bacterium. Its description in RNAcentral is "partial 16S ribosomal RNA". It matches the Rfam family "Bacterial small subunit ribosomal RNA", at positions 568 to 774 of the family's 1533-position model. The record is from RNAcentral.
AGCGUAGACGGUGUGGCAAGUCUGAUGUGAAAGGCAUGGGCUCAACCUGUGGAUUGCAUUGGAAACUGUCAUACUUGAGUGCCGGAGGGGUAAGCGGAAUUCCUAGUGUAGCGGUGAAAUGCGUAGAUAUUAGGAGGAACACCAGUGGCGAAGGCGGCUUACUGGACGGUAACUGACGUUGAGGCUCGAAAGCGUGGGAGCAAACA